RNAcentral lists this long non-coding RNA (1701 nucleotides) under Mus musculus (house mouse). RNAcentral describes it as "predicted gene, 50301". The record is from RNAcentral. Lineage: Eukaryota; Metazoa; Chordata; Mammalia; Rodentia; Muridae.
GGGCACUAGGCUGGAAAGGAACAGACGUCUAGAGAGCAGGACUUGGAGGUAAUGGCGUGAACCGAGACGGAUGCUAGCAUGCUUUGCCUACCAGUGGCGGUGCUUCAGGAAUAAAUUACACCUGGAAAGGGCCCCCGUGCAUCAUGUUGGCAAUGAUCACGGUUGGCAGAAUGGAUCCCCAGCCAGACUCCACAAUCACAACUCCCAGGAUCUCACCUUUCUGCUUCUCUAUGAAGACCUGAAAGGAGAAGAGAAAGAAAUCUCGAAUCAGCAGCCACGUGUGAUAGGUCCCUGAGCUGGUCCCCUGCCUGUGUGGGGGAAAAAAGAGACACUUCUUUGGGGCUUCCAAUCUAGCAGGGCUGCCUCACCCUCCAGGGCCCCGCCCUCCUGGCUCAGCUUGGGAACAAGUUCCUGGAAGUACCUACAUCUUUGCAGUUUUCCGACUUGGAGAAGUGGAUCAGGUCAUCGUUGUACAUGUCCUGGGUGUUGAGCAGGUCACUGUAUUCCUUCUGGCUGAGGUCUUCUGGGUUGAUGCCAUUGGCCCUGAGGAAUUCCUGGUACGCAACACUGAAUGCCUGUCCUAUGGACUGCGCGAUCAGCUGGGCCUAUAGCAGCACAGGGGAAGAUAGAGAAGCCAGAGGGCGGAUCUGAGCAUCCGAGAAAGCCCUGAGUGGAUCUGCGUGCACCUGAGAGAGAGGCCGUCCCUGGACGUUCUGACCCGAGUCGGUUUUCAUCUGCCUUGCAACUUCUCCUCUAGGAUCUGAAAUGCUUCCUUCCUCUCCACUCUUGAAGUAACAUGAAAUGGCCCAGGAAUUCCUAUUCCUGUUGAUUUCAAAAGUCUAACAAUUCUUCAACUCUAGGGAAUUGUGUUCCACCUUCAUUAUCAAAAAAUUACCCAGACUUCAUUCCCCCCCCCCCCCCAAACUACGGAAAGAUGAAGAAGGCAAACUAAGUUUCAUGACAGGUGUUCUGACACGGUUUCCACAAAGUUGAAAAUGUUUAUGCAGCAGAUUAUAGCAUUUCGAUGUAACACUGAUGAGAUGAACAGGUCAGAGCCGGAAUGGAAGAUUGGAAGAGGCUGCUAAAACCCUCACAAGGCCAAGGAUGGCAGGACUCUGGGAUCAGAGCUGUGCCCCCCUCACUUCAGGGUCAGUGUCAGUCUCACCAUGGACAGCCCCUCUAGAUUGGUCAUGCUGUGGGGAGGGCCUCCUCUGGCCUGUCUGUUCCUUACCCAGCUAGCAUCUACUGAGCUUUGCCAGGAUCCUUCUAACCACACGCUACUGUCAAAACUCACAACAGCCCUGAGAGGCAGGAAUUAUAGUAAGAUACUCAAGAAGAGGAAAACAAAGCACAGGGAGGCUAGGUCAUUUGCCCAGUGUCACACAACUGUGUAGAAUGUGAUUCAAGUCCAGGCAAUCUAGCUCUUCAGUCUACAUUUCCCUUUGUGCAGCUGGCUUAGGCAGGCUUCUCUGGAAUGUCUUGGUUCCCAGUAAAAUGGGGCUAAUAAUACCUGCUUCCCAGAACUCCCUACCUCCUCUGGUCUGAGCAGUGAAGGAGGCAAUAUACACAAAGACCUGGCAGGAGGCAGCAGCAUCUCUCUACUGAUCCGGAUCUCUUCAAGCAAGCUGGGAAGUGACAGGACUUAGACAAAGCUACAAUGAUGCCAACAUUUAAUUCUACAAUGAAACUUUACAAAAUCAC